This 723-nucleotide ribosomal RNA is filed under the name Vibrio sp. 12E02. Its description in RNAcentral is "bacterial SSU rRNA". It matches the Rfam family "Bacterial small subunit ribosomal RNA", at positions 33 to 735 of the family's 1533-position model. The record is from RNAcentral. Lineage: Bacteria; Pseudomonadati; Pseudomonadota; Gammaproteobacteria; Vibrionales; Vibrionaceae.
ACGCUGGCGGCAGGCCUAACACAUGCAAGUCGAGCGGAAACGACACUAACAAUUCCUCGGGUGCGUUAAUGGGCGUCGAGCGGCGGACGGGUGAGUAAUGCCUAGGAAAUUGCCUUGAUGUGGGGGAUAACCAUUGGAAACGAUGGCUAAUACCGCAUAAUGCCUACGGGCCAAAGAGGGGGACCUUCGGGCCUCUCGCGUCAAGAUAUGCCUAGGUGGGAUUAGCUAGUUGGUGAGGUAAUGGCUCACCAAGGCGACGAUCCCUAGCUGGUCUGAGAGGAUGAUCAGCCACACUGGAACUGAGACACGGUCCAGACUCCUACGGGAGGCAGCAGUGGGGAAUAUUGCACAAUGGGCGAAAGCCUGAUGCAGCCAUGCCGCGUGUAUGAAGAAGGCCUUCGGGUUGUAAAGUACUUUCAGUUGUGAGGAAGGGGGUAGCGUUAAUAGCGCUAUCUCUUGACGUUAGCAACAGAAGAAGCACCGGCUAACUCCGUGCCAGCAGCCGCGGUAAUACGGAGGGUGCGAGCGUUAAUCGGAAUUACUGGGCGUAAAGCGCAUGCAGGUGGUUCAUUAAGUCAGAUGUGAAAGCCCGGGGCUCAACCUCGGAACUGCAUUUGAAACUGGUGAACUAGAGUACUGUAGAGGGGGGUAGAAUUUCAGGUGUAGCGGUGAAAUGCGUAGAGAUCUGAAGGAAUACCAGUGGCGAAGGCGGCCCCCUGGACA